Molecule: ribosomal RNA, 253 nt
Filed under: uncultured bacterium
Lineage: Bacteria
Description: partial 16S ribosomal RNA
Rfam family: Bacterial small subunit ribosomal RNA
Source: RNAcentral
UACGUAGGCAGCAAGCGUUGUUCGGAAUUACUGGGCGUAAAGCGUGCGUAGGCGGUGGUCCAAGUCUGCUGUGAAAUCUCCCGGCUUAACUGGGAGGGUGCGGUGGAAACUGGGAUGCUAGAGGAUGGGAGAGGUAAGCGGAAUUCCUGGUGUAGCGGUGAAAUGCGUAGAUAUCAGGAGGAACACCGGUGGUGUAGACAGCUUACUGGACCAUUUCUGACGCUGAGACACGAAAGCGUGGGUAGCAAACAGG